Molecule: long non-coding RNA, 6121 nt
Filed under: Solanum tuberosum (potato)
Lineage: Eukaryota; Viridiplantae; Streptophyta; Magnoliopsida; Solanales; Solanaceae
Description: long non-coding RNA (STUB_LNC010553)
Source: RNAcentral
UUUUUUUCUUUUUGGUAAUAUUAGAAUGAAAUAGUUAUAUAGAGUAAUAUGAUCGGUGAGAAUUUUUGCUAAGGAUAAUAUAUUUUAUUUAUGUAAAAUGAUUGUUACAAAAAAGUCAUACUUCUCCAUAGUACCUGAUUUGAAGGGUCAUUAACAUAAUCGUCAUGUAUAAAGGAACGUGGAGAAGUAUAACAUGGUAUGAUAGAAAUAGCAUUAUUAGCACAACCAUAUUUAGACAAAAUACAGAUACAAUAUUGACUUCUCGAAAAAUACAUUGCGUGCAUCAUGCAGCCUUCCAGGAUCAUCGAUCAAUCAUGACUUGCAUAAGGUGGUUGUGAUUUAUCAAUUGACAUGAAUUGAGCUUUUGGUCGACAUAGGCAUGUUAUUUUCUUUGGUUUUGAAAUGACUACUCGCAUUAAGAGUUAAAUGGGCCAACAUGUAGUCCAUAUAUAGUCCCAAAUGUAGGCAAAAUGGUUCUUGCUAACCACGGCGGAGUUAGUGUGUUGAUUACAGUUUCGAUUGUAUUCAGUAACUUUAGUUCAAACUCUAAAUUUGUAAUAAGAAAUUCAUUGAUUAUGUACAAAUUAUUAAUUUAGAACCUACUAACAUAAAUAAUUAAAAUUCCAAACACGUAAAAACUUCAUAUUUUGUCUCCGUCUUUGUUGCUACCAAUCCAAAAAUAUUGCAAAAUAUAGAAACGUCUAGGGGAUGGCUAUAAGUAUUAACUGACACAUCAAUAAAGCUAGCCUAACGCGUAGCACAUCACUCACCACUUUCGUACAUCUUUGGGGAUGAUAUUUAGCUUAUGGAUGAACAAAGUCAUUACAAAAUAAUAAUAAAAAAGCAUAAUAUAUAAAUGUGGCAUUAAACUUGGCCUCAUUCGACAUUUAUGUCCUCCAACUUUGAGUGUGCAUAAGUAGACACUUAAAAUUUGUAUAAAGUUGAACAAGUAGACACAUGAGUUCUAUCAAUAUGGCAUAAUACACGUAAGACACAAAUUGUCAUGUAGAAUGCCAUGUAGAACGGAGUUUCUUGAAGACUACGAGAUCAAUGAACACCUUUGGUAUCUAGAGUAUGGACCAGCCACAACAAUCUCUAAAUUUAUCCUUGGAUCAACACAACUUGUUCACAUGAUGGAAAACUGGUGAUUACAAAACUAAGUUUUUACUAUGAAGGUUUGCCCAUAGAGUAAUUAAACAGACGUGAAGAGUUCAAGAUCACUCAUUUUUAAUUGAAGUCAUCGAGUAUAAAUGUUUUGAUGGAAAAUCCACCCUAGACUCUAUCUCCUUUUUUAGUUUUUAAUUUAAGAACUAUUACUAACACUUACUACUAAAAACUUUAAAUUAUUUCUUAUUUGGCUGUAAUAGAGCAUAUUAAUAUUAUUAUUAUUAUUAUAUAUAACACAAGAAAGAAAUGGGAUUUCACAAGUUAACUUUCCAGCAUGAAAUGAGUCAAUUUUCCACUUUGGUCCAACUCAAUUUUUUAGAGGGCCUUGACCAUAACUUACUUAAUUAUAUAAAAAUGUAUUUGUGGAAGUUUUUAAUGGAGUGCAUAUGUAAUAAAUAAGUUUAAAAAACUAUACUUACAGUCAUCAAAGCAUUCACAAAUAAUUGGUAUUGGCUACUUGGCUUAGUGACAUUAACCAAAUGGAUAAUUUACAAUCAUUAGAAAACAACUCCACCUAAAAUAUAUAUGUACUAAUACACUAGAAAAAAUAAUCAUUUGGCAUGUUUUUUUGAAUAUAAAUAAGAAAUAAUCAUUACUAAUGGAACUUGAGGCUUAUAAUAGCCCUUUGGGGUCAAAAAAGGCCAUCAUUAUAAUAAUAAUCAAAAGUUUGUGGAAAUCACUAGUUUCGUCAUUUAAAUGAUAUAUAGAUGAUGUAGGGAUGUUUAAUUCAAUAAAAAUCUUAAUAAAAAAUAUAACUUUUAAUAGUUACAUGCUAUAAAUUUUAUUCUGUAUAAUUAGUGUAUUUCAUUAUAUAUCGAUUAAAUGUCAAGUGAUAAUUACAAACGAUUACAUUAUACAUCGAGUAUAUAUAUGUCAAGUGAUAAUUACAAACAAUUAUAUUAUACAUCGAGUAUAUAUAUGUCAAGUGGCAGCUACAAAUGAUUAUAUUAUACAUCGAGUAUAUGUCAAGUGACAACAAUAAAUGAUUAUAUUAUACAUAGAGUAUAUGGCAAGUGAUAGUUACAAAUGAUUACAUUAUACAUCGAGUAUAUGUCAAAUGACAACUACAAAUGGUUACGGCUAGGCAAGUGAAUUUUCUUAAUUGCCUGUUAAAAAACGUUAUGAUACCUUGGAUAUAUAGAAAGUUGUAUACAUACUAAUCAAAUAUGAAUAUUUUGAUGGAGAGAACACUUUAAAAAAAAAUCAUAGUUAAUUAUGUUGCAUUAUAACUUAAUUAUGGGUUAUCCACUAAAGAAAUUGUAUUGGCUUCACUAUUGUGAUAAAAGUGCAAUUUAAGUGGUGCUUUAGACUAUGAAUUGUGAUAUACAUUUCAACAAAAAAAUUAGUAAGUUAUUUAAAAGUUGGUAAAGUUGGGCAAAUAGCUAUUAGUGAAAGAAUAUUAAAAGUAAUUCAGUGGAUAAAAUGUUAAUUUACAUUCUAAAGGUGCAAUAUUCGAUAUUAUUAAACCCUUCUCUUUAUAUAUAUAUCGACCCUUAAAAAAGAAUUUUUAAAAAGAUGAUUAUAAGAUAAUAAUUUUGUUUAAUUUUAAGAGCUACGUGAGUGGAAAAAGUUCUUUAAAAAUAAGAGAAUAAAGUUUAAAAUUUGAGUGAAGAAUAACCACAUAUUCUUUAUUUGUACCAAAUAAAUAAAUAAAAAAUAACCACAUAUUCUAGCAUGUUAAUACUGGCUAAUUAAUUUUAAACAUGUACGGCUCUUAAUUAGAAAUCAAUAUUUUAAACCUGUGCGAAAUUGGAUUUUUAAUAAGGGAAAAUUAUGCAAUAGUGUAAAGUGUAAACAUAUGCUAUGUAUUUACCGAAAUAACAAAACUUUGAAAAUAUUAUACUAAUAUAUAGGAAAAGUUUGAAUUUUAUCGGUUUCUCUUUGUUUUGUUCACUUGGAUCAAUUCAACGUAACAAUUUAUUUUGUGUUUGUUCAGUGUGAUACAAAUACAACAAAAUACAAUGCAAAUUGAUACAUUGAACUAUUGCUACAUUUGAUAACUAAUCAAACUAUCUUUAUUAUUUAUAAUUAAGACUCAAGUAACAUAAUUUUAAAUUUUUUUUCUUUAAAAAAUACAGACGAGUUAAGCUGGAAAAAGAUCAAAAUUGAGUGAUCUUUUGAGAUAUUAAUUUUAUGUUCUAGUUACGCAAAUGAUUAAAUAAAAAUGUGUACAUGAUACCAAAAGAAAGAAAAAAAAAAAAUUUCAACGAGACCACGUACGUAAUAUUAAUAUUAACUCAGCACAAUACAUUAAUCCCCAAAAAUAUGUAAUUCGAUCAUCUUGAAUAUCAAUUCGAAAAAUUUCAAAAUCUAAUCAAAUCAGUAACGUGAUUCUCUUCUAUCACAUAAUCCACAAAUUUUAAAGAAAGAUAAUUAGAUUCAUGAACUAGUCAACUUUUUACUCCUAUCAUCAUCUCUUCCUUUUCCAAAUAUGAUAUAUAUAUUCUACCUUUUUAAAUUAUUAUUUUUUUGAAAAAAGUUAAUAUUAUUCUUAAACAUCUUGUAGUGUGUAUCUUCUUUUUCCCUUUAUCAUUUAUUUAUUUAAUAAAAGGAAGGAGGUAGUUAGGAUAUUAUCAUCGUCAUCAUUAUGAGACUAUUUAUUUAAAUAAUAGCCACACACAUGGGCGGGCGAAAAACGAAACAUGAUAUAAUCUUUUUCAUUUCAUUAUAAGAACCCAAGUUUACACUUUUGACGUGUUACUACUUAUAUAUAAGAAGAUAAUUUAAAAUAUUAAGCCUUUUUAAAAUUCUUUAGGAGAGAGAAUAUUCAUUGACAAUUGAAAUCAGCAAGUUACUUAAAAGGGAAAAAGACAGUUUUAAUGAAGAAAAUAAAGGAACUUUUAUAUAAGUUUUGUUAUACACCUAUGUUAAUUCUUCAAUAAAUUGAUUCAUUUUUAUCAUUUACAUGUUUUAUUAUACCAUGUUAAUACUGAGAUAUGUUCAUACAAUUAUUUGUAGUAAUAACUAGCUAGCCACUUUUCAAUUAUUUCACAAUUUCAUACAAUGGCUAUUUUUAAUUACGUCGCUAAAGAAUGGUUAUUUAUGAUUAUUUUUUCCCAGUUACUUUUCUAUCAACAGGGGUGAGACAUAUAUUUAAAAUCUAGACACAACUAAAAAAUAUUCAAACAACUAAAAAAUACUUCAGAUCAUCAAUAGUAUGGAGUUUGAGUACGACUAAAGUUGCAAUAAUUUUAAUUUGUGGCCACAUUUUAAAGAGUAGAGACUAUAUGCCUAAAUGAUCUAUGACUCCUAAUGAGUGAUCAAACCUACAUUAAGGAUAAUUUAUGCAAAUGUUAUUGCUAAAAUUAUCUCUAAAUGCCCCCCAAUUAGAGAGAGUAAAGUAAUAAAAACACAUAAUUUCAUGUUUGCAAUUCUUUGCUCUUUUUGAUAAUUGUAUAAAGGUUGAUUAAGUAAGGAGAAUAACAUAACUUUUUCUAGUUAUUUAAAACAUUAUAAUAGAGCUCCAAGAGUCCUUCGGGAUGACUCAGUUGGUUUGGAGGGUGGUUAUCCACACGGAUAACCAGGGAUCGAUCCCCCCUCAAUGUCUUCUGAGUCGAGCCUGUCACAUAGGGCUUGCCUAGUGCAGAGUUCUCACCCGAAGGAUUUCGCUUUUAUUUUUAGUUUAUUUUCUUUAUUUUUGACAAAUCUCUAAUUAGGAGUUGGAAAUAACAACAGAUAAUUCCUUCCGGUUGUUUAUAAAAUGGCCGUGAGCCGGGAAGUCUUUUUCUAUCUGAAAAUACUUUUAAUUUACUUUGGAUUAGGCGACUGUUAUAGCUCAUGAAUUGUUCAAAUCAAAUAUAUUAAGCCAUUGACAAUAAAUCAGUGAUAAUGUGUGGUUUGCAAGCUAUUACACAGUGGGAGUUUACCCAGUGCGCACAAAGUGCUCACUCGAAGGGCAGAGGUUGUAACGGCUGCGGGUUAUCCUGGGGUUCCAAAAAAAAAAUAGAGAUCCAAGACACUUUCUCUCAACCAAAAAAGAAGGGACUCUACUCCACCUCCUUGUGCCAUCCACCUAUCCACCAUGGUUGUUCCGGUCCCGAACCCUACUUUUCCUCUGAGAAAAAAAAUCACUUCCACUCAUCGCGAAACCCUGAAUCACAACAGAUAUCUGAUCUAGUUCGUGUUAGGGAUAAUCCAAUUCCCAAACACAAACAGGACAUAACACAAGGGAAGCAUAUGAAGAUAAUUUGUUGAUGCAUUAGGCCUGCUAGGCCAUCAUAAUAUAGCCAAUGUACAGCUAACUAAAAGUUGCUCUCUAUUUACGUUUUGCCAAUGCAGUAAAUAAACAUACUAUCACUAUGCACAAUGAUAUCCUAAGCUGGCAAUGCAGCCUAAUGUUGUACCAAUUAUGCACCUCUAAUUGAGUCCACCCUGUCGAUGACAUCCAAAGCUUUCAUGCGGUCAGUGUCAAAGUCAAUCACUGGAACAGAAGACGGUCUCUUGAUAGGGAACGGGUUCCUUCUGGUUUCAUUUAUAGGUGAAUGGCUACUGCUCUUACUCAGCCUGUGGUACUUGCUCAACCCUGUUUUUGCAAAUUCUUGAGACUUGCUAAUCCCUGGAGUUAGUUUUCUCUUGCUUACAUCACGAAGCAUUUCUUGGUCUUCAACCGAUAAUGGGGAUGAUGGAGAGCUUGAUCGGUGAUUAGACAACUCAAUUGUCUUUUGAUUAGGGGAACAGGUUGGAGAUUUUACUGGAGAUCUCACUCCAGUAUUAGCACUUUUCGACUGACUGACAAGAUGAUGGAGCCACACCACUAAUUCAAGAAUAUAUGCUUCUGUUUUCUCCUUAUCUGCAUGAUACAGUGUCUCAAUUCGAAGAAGAUCAACCUGGCUCGAAGAUUUCCUGUUCAUUUCGGACCUACAGAUGAAAAAUAAUUCAAUUAGACAAGCCAAAGGAAGAUACAGACGGAUUAAAAAAUAAGUUCAUAGUGAUUUGAGCUCACCCUGUAUUUGCC